GGGAUAUUUUGAUAUAAUUCUGUGUGUAUUUGUCCAUUCGAAUGUGUAAGAAUGCGAAAAAGAGAGCACAGUCCAGUGUUCGCGUAUAUAAGAGGUGGCUUUUGUGUGUGUGUGUGAGUGUGUGUGUGUGUGUUUG
Sinocyclocheilus grahami is the source of this 136-nucleotide long non-coding RNA. RefSeq lists it as uncharacterized. The transcript is spliced from 3 exons. The record is from RefSeq and is a predicted model, not a curated record. Lineage: Eukaryota; Metazoa; Chordata; Actinopteri; Cypriniformes; Cyprinidae.